UUUUACUGAUGAUUAACUUCAACACCUUUUGCGGUUUCCACCAGAAAGCUUCGGCUUAAUGAUGGUCUAAGGCGUCUGACU
RNAcentral lists this small nucleolar RNA (81 nucleotides) under Drosophila melanogaster (fruit fly). RNAcentral describes it as "snoRNA:U14:30Ea (snoRNA:U14:30Ea)". RNAcentral also lists the same sequence under 1 other name. The record is from RNAcentral. Lineage: Eukaryota; Metazoa; Arthropoda; Insecta; Diptera; Drosophilidae.